This 2943-nucleotide long non-coding RNA is filed under the name Lactuca sativa (garden lettuce). Its description in RNAcentral is "long non-coding RNA (LSAT_LNC008169)". Lineage: Eukaryota; Viridiplantae; Streptophyta; Magnoliopsida; Asterales; Asteraceae. The record is from RNAcentral.
GCGAAGUCCGUAUAAAAUUGUCAAACCUACAUGAAAAAUUUCAGAUGAGGCGUACUGUUGUGUUUUGCUCUUGAGAAUGAGGCUCCGGCGAGAUUAGGGUUUUCCGAGAAAAACUUCUAUUUUGCCACUUAAUCAUCCGAUCAAGUAUGAGCCGAUGAUUUCGACGCCGAUUCUACUACUCUCUCUUUCUCUAUCUCUAUCUCUCAAAACAUAUAUACAUACACACACAUAAACAUAUACAUCACAGCUCUUCUCAAAUAUCUACAAAUGAUAAAGGGGGUGUUUGGAAUAGCUUAUUUAUUUCUUUAAGCUCUUUUUGAGUUAUUGCUGUUGCUGUUGUUGCUAAUUUAUUGUUCCGAUGAGGCGGUGACGAUGAGAUGUAGAAUGAGCAAUAUCGGAAUUUGGUGACCUGAUCUGUAUCUUGGCUGGGCAAUCCGGAUGGCAUAUGUUCAUUUGGAGAUUUCUCUUCGGAAAUCGAUAUGCAUUGCAACUGCGAUUGCAGCCAUGACGGAUUUGGGCAAAACAAAUUCGAUUACAACAGAUCUGAGCCUCCUUUCUACCCUCGCAUCCUGUUUUCCUGUCCAGGUACUUGUAAGCUUUUUUUUUAAUCCAUAUACUAAAGUAGAUAAAUUAUUCUCUUAAAAACAUAGUGAUUGAACGAAAUAUCAUGUUGCAGCCUACAUUGUUGAGAUUGAGAUAUAAUGUUAUAAAUAAAUUGUUGUUACAAUCUAGAAUUUUCAGCAAUUAUCAAACAUAUGUUUUCCCUACGCAUAUUUUCAAAUAGAAAAAAACUAGAUCGAAAUUUUGGUUUAUUUUUUUUAUUUUUAUUUAGUUUUGUUUCCUAGUUUAAUUACUAGAAUAUGUUUUCUUUUGAUUAUUAGAAUGUUAAGGAACUAGAAUAUUUUUUCUUUUGAUUAUUAGAAUGUUAAGGCAACAAGUUAUUGAGAACUUUAAAAUUAUUUUUUCUUCUAAGAAAUUUUUUCCUUCUGGAAUACAAUUUUAAACAUUUUAUUUUACACAAAAAAACUUAUUGGCAAAAGCUAUUCUGUUAUAUUACAUCUUUUAAAAGCCUAGAUCUUCCUUUGUGAAUAAGAACUCCAGCGAUCUCCUAUGAAGAAGCUAAUAGGCUAUCAGGUAGCCUGUAUGCUAGUUUGCCAUACAUUGACUCUAACAAAUGAAGGUUUUUUUUGUCACAUGUCACAAUCAUUCAAUUUGCCAAAUGUCAUUUUGCGGUUAUUUUGAAUUAACCCAUAUAAUAAAUGGGUCUCACAACUAGUAUCCUAUAUAUCACAACUAGUAUCCUAUAUAUCAAAGAGUAAAUUACAGAAAUGGUCCCUAUGGUUUAACCAAAGUUACAACUCUGGUUCACAACUUUGCUUCGUUUUGUUACAUGCGCAUCCCUGUGGUUAAAAAAAAGCUACGACGAUAAAAAAAAUUAUCUGAGCAAAUGAAAAUAUAUUGGCUGGGCAAUCCGGAGGGCAUAUUUUCUUUAAAUGUUAUAUGCAACUGUGAUUGCAGCCAUGGUGGGUUACUGGGUUUAGAUUACUCAAUUUCCCUUGAUCACAACAGAUCUGAGCUUUCAUCUACAAAAUCUAAUGUUGAUCAUUAGUAAAAGGCAACUGCAAGUGAUAGCGAUGUACUUCAUUGAUUUGUUUAUCAUCACAUGCUACUUUUAAUUAUUUCUAACACAACACCGUGUUUUGGAAAAUCUAUCCAAUUAAAGCAAUGGUGGUGGUGGACUGGUGGUGGUGGUGGUGGUGAUGGUGAUGAUGAUGAUGAUGAUGAUGAUGAUGAUGGUUAAGUUUAUGGAAAAUCUAUCCAAUUAAAGCAAUAUUAGUAAUAUUUUUAUGGAAAAGGCGAUGAUGAUGAUGAUGAUGAUGAUGAUGAUGAUGAUGGAUUGUAUUAUUCUAAGCAAAUAUGAAGAGACAUUGAAGAUUGGUUCUCUGUAUCUUGGCAGGGCAACUUCCUGAUGGCAAAGUGAGAAGUGACUUUGCAACUGUGUGUGUGUUUGCAGCCAUGACAGAGUCCCUAUCUUCUUUCUCACCAUUCCCUAAUUACAGAUCUGAGCCUAAGCAUAUUCCUGUUACACUUUAUUUUUUUAUUUUUUUCUUAAAGUGAUAUGGUUUUCUGAAUGAAAUAUAUGAAUUUUGUUUUCUGUAGUUGAUUAUUAUUAGAAUGGUGAACAACUGGGGAAGAGUUGUAAUAAGAAUAGAGUCUGUUUCUGUUCUUUAUAUGUUCACGUUUUUUGGGUUUCAUUCUUCUUUGUGUGACCAAACAAAAAGAUAAAAAGUUUCAGUUGAAUGUAAUUUUGGUGUUUUUUUUGGUGUUUAACUUGUCUCCCUUCCACAAUUGUUUGGUGCGUUUCAGUUGUUUAUUUUAAAAGGGUUGUGAUUCUUCUGUGUGUGUUUUUGCUGUGCUUUUAUUAUUCAUUGAUUUCGUGACAUUUGGUAAUCAGGGAAUUACAGAAGGGUGUGUUGGUUUUGCUUUGGAAUUAAAUACAAGUGUGUUGCAUUUUUUAAUCUGAUUUUUUGGAGAGUACAUUGCUGUUUUUGUCUAUAUAAGCUUAAGAUUGAAAUGCAAAACUUGAUUGGCAUCUACAAAUCUGAUUUUUGGUAUGGGAAAGGCUUCUUUUGGCUUAUUUGGGAAAAAAAGCUAUGGAGAGUACAUUGCUGUAGUUGGUGAUGACCACUUAGGUUUUUACAUUUGCAAACCAAAAUCAACAAAAAUAUAUACCUCCACAAGAGAAUUAAAUCGAUAUCUAAGGCAGGCUUAUGUUAAUGUUUUUUCUUUGAUUGAAUGCAAAAUACCAUACAUGAUUAAAAAUUAAAAUUGGAGGUUUAUUCUCAUUUGGUUCUUGUAUCGGUUCACCAUUAUUAGAUGAAAAACUUAUUUCAUAUUGGUUUCAAAAAAGAAAACCAAACGUUAUAAUUGCAUUAAAAAAUC